RNAcentral lists this ribosomal RNA (493 nucleotides) under uncultured Actinomycetes bacterium. RNAcentral describes it as "bacterial SSU rRNA". It matches the Rfam family "Bacterial small subunit ribosomal RNA", at positions 355 to 857 of the family's 1533-position model. Lineage: Bacteria; Bacillati; Actinomycetota; Actinomycetes. The record is from RNAcentral.
UGGGGAAUAUUGCGCAAUGGGCGAAAGCCUGACGCAGCGACACCGCGUGCGGGAUGAAGGCCUUCGGGUUGUAAACCGCUUUCGGCAGGGAAGAAGCGAAAGUGACGGUACCUGCAGAAGAAGCUCCGGCUAACUACGUGCCAGCAGCCGCGGUAAGACGUAGGGAGCGAGCGUUGUCCGGAUUCAUUGGGCGUAAAGCGCGCGUAGGCGGCUUUGCAAGUCGGUUGUGAAAACCAGAGGCUCAACCUCUGGCCUGCAUCCGAAACUGCAUCGCUUGAGGUAGGUAGGGGAGAUCGGAAUUCCUGGUGUAGCGGUGGAAUGCGCAGAUAUCAGGAGGAACACCGGGUGGCGAAGGCGGAUCUCUGGGCCUUACCUGACGCUGAGGUGCGAAAGCUAGGGGAGCGAACAGGAUUAGAUACCCUGGUAGUCCAUGCCGUAAACGUUGGGCACUAGGUGUGGGUCUCAACCAACGAGAUCCGCGCCGUCGCUAACG